AGAGUUUGAUCCUGGCUCAGGACGAACGCUGGCGGCGUGCCUAAUGCAUGCAAGUCGCACGCACCUUCGGGUGAGUGGCGCACGGCUGAGGAACACGUGGCUAACCUGCCCUGGAGUGGGGGAUAACGGGCCGAAAGGCUCGCUAAGCCCGCAUACGAUUGGCUGUGGCCAAGGAAAGCCGCAAGGCGCUCUGGGAGGGGGCCGCGCCCCAUUAGAUGGUUGGUGUGGUAACGGCGCACCAAGUCCGUGAUGGGUUCCGGGUCUGAGAGGACGACCCGGCAGACUGGGACUGAGAUACGGGCCAGACUCCUACGGGAGGCAGCAGUAGGGAAUAUUGGGCAAUGGCGGAAACGCUGACCCAGCCAUGCCGCGUGCAGGAAGAAGGCGCUCAGCGUUGUAAACUGCUUUUGCCGGGGAAGAACGACUCUUACGAGUAAGAGGAAUGACGGUACCCGGUGAAUAAGCACCGGCUAACUCCGUGCCAGCAGCCGCGGUAAUACGGAGGGUGCAAGCGUUGUCCGGAUUUAUUGGGUUUAAAGGGUGCGUAGGUGGCUGGUUAAGUCCGGGGUGAAAGGCAGUGGCUCAACCACUCGCAGGGCCCCGGAUACUGAUGAGCUCGAGUGUAGGUGAGGCCGGUGGAACGGGUGGUGUAGCGGUGAAAUGCAUAGAUACCAUCCAGAACACCGAUUGCGGAGGCAGCCGGCUAACCUACUACUGACACUGAGGCACGAAAGCGUGGGGAGCAAACAGGAUUAGAUACCCCGGUAGUCC
This 771-nucleotide ribosomal RNA is filed under the name uncultured Sphingobacteriales bacterium. RNAcentral describes it as "bacterial SSU rRNA". It matches the Rfam family "Bacterial small subunit ribosomal RNA", at positions 8 to 796 of the family's 1533-position model. Lineage: Bacteria; Pseudomonadati; Bacteroidota; Sphingobacteriia; Sphingobacteriales. The record is from RNAcentral.